This is a long non-coding RNA of Protopterus annectens (West African lungfish), 453 nucleotides long. RefSeq lists it as uncharacterized. Lineage: Eukaryota; Metazoa; Chordata; Ceratodontiformes; Protopteridae. The record is from RefSeq and is a predicted model, not a curated record. The transcript has 2 exons.
CCUGCAGCACUAUUCAUUACAGCAACAUCAGCACUGGCAGCAACAUCAGCGUAACUUCACUGGUUAAAGACUGCCAAAAUCAGGAGUUUCACCACAGAAUAAGAAAACAGACAUUUUCAAAUGAAUCUUCAUUCUUCCGAAAAAUGCAAGACAACAGGACUAAAAAGCCUGAAAUCAAUGGUCCAGUUCCAUUACAAACCCGGCAAGCAUAAAGGUUACCAUGGCAACAAGCUAGCAAUGAAGGAUAUAGCAUACAAGAAGAGGACGACAACUCCAGAUGUUUCUUCAAGGUCAUCCAUUAAGUCGACAUAUUUCAAUGUCAGCGACACAUUGUGAUCUGGUGCUGCAGUUGUAUGGGGGCCCUGAGACCAAAAAGGAAGGCAGUGUUACUACUACAGUGACUGCUGUAUUGAGCUUUGCAUAUAAUAAAGUAACUUACCAACAGCAAGCUGA